Molecule: unclassified non-coding RNA, 313 nt
Filed under: uncultured fungus
Lineage: Eukaryota; Fungi
Description: partial contains small subunit ribosomal RNA, internal transcribed spacer 1, and 5.8S ribosomal RNA
Rfam family: Eukaryotic small subunit ribosomal RNA (bases 1-73)
Source: RNAcentral
GCAAACUUGGUCAUUUAGAGGAAGUAAAAGUCGUAACAAGGUUUCCGUAGGUGAACCUGCGGAAGGAUCAUUACAUGGCGUGUGAUCUGCAUGCGGAUAUGCCUAAGCUCAAAGCUUUGGGUGCUCUGCUGUAGGCUCCUCGCUCUCUAUCCUUGCCUGUUUGUACCUUUUGUUGUUUCCUCGGUGGAUGCUGGUCCGCCGAUGGAAUCUCAUAAACCUUUUUGCAGUAGUAUCCUGAUCUGAAUCAACGUUUUAAAUCGUUACAACUUUCAACAAUGGAUCUCUUGGUUCUGGCAUCGAUGAAGAACGCAGC